AGAGUUUGAUCCUGGCUCAGGACGAACGCUGGCGGCGUGCUUAAUACAUGCAAGUCGAGCGAGGUUACUGUUUUGGAUCCCUUCGGGGUGAAGAAGCUUUAACCUAGCGGCGGACGGGUGAGUAACGCGUGGGUAACCUACCCCAAAGUCCGGGAUAACAGCGGGAAACCGCUGCUAAUACCGGAUGCCUUUACCUUGGGGCAUCUUGAGGUAAAGAAAGGUAACGCUUUGGGAUGGGCCCGCGUCCCAUUAGCUAGUUGGUGAGGUAACGGCUCACCAAGGCGACGAUGGGUAGCCGGCCUGAGAGGGUGGACGGCCACACUGGGACUGAGACACGGCCCAGACUCCUACGGGAGGCAGCAGUAGGGAAUAUUGCGCAAUGGACGGAAGUCUGACGCAGCGACGCCGCGUGAGCGAUGAAGGUCUUCGGAUCGUAAAGCUCUGUCCUUGGGGAAGAAGGCGAAAGCUUGACGGUACCCAAGAAGAAAGCCCCGGCUAACUACGUGCCAGCAGCCGCGGUAAUACGUAGGGGGCGAGCGUUGUCCGGAAUUACUGGGCGUAAAGGGUGCGUAGGCGGCCCUUUAAGUCGGAUGUGAAAGCCCGCGGCUUAACCGCGGAAUGGCAUUCGAAACUGGAGGGCUUGAGUGUCGGAGAGGGUAGUGGAAUUCCCAGUGUAGCGGUGAAAUGCGUAGAUAUUGGGAGGAACACCAGUGGCGAAGGCGACUACCUGGACGAUAACUGACGCUGAGGCACGAAAGCUAGGGGAGCAAACAGGAUUAGAUACCCUGGUAGUCCUAGCCGUAAACGAUGGGUACUAGGUGUGGGUGGUUUCGAUACCAUCCGUGCCGUAGUUAACGCAUUAAGUACCCCGCCUGGGGAGUACGUGCGCAAGCAUGAAACUCAAAUGAAUUGACGG
Molecule: ribosomal RNA, 916 nt
Filed under: uncultured bacterium
Lineage: Bacteria
Description: bacterial SSU rRNA
Rfam family: Bacterial small subunit ribosomal RNA
Source: RNAcentral